GGUAACUCGCGGCGAGCAGCAGAGGAAAGACGGAGGGUGCAAGAGUUAAGCGGAAUAACUGGGCGUAAAGCGCACGCAGGCGGUUAGAUAAGUCAGAGGUGAAAGCCCCGGGCUCAACCUGGGAACUGCAUUUGAAACUGUCUGACUAGAGUCUUGUAGAGGGGGGUAGAAUUCCAGGUGUAGCGGUGAAAUGCGUAGAGAUCUGGAGGAAUACCGGUGGCGAAGGCGGCCCCCUGGACAAAGACUGACGCUCAGGUGCGAAAGCGUGGGGAGCAAACAGGAUUAGAUACCCGAGUAGUC
Molecule: ribosomal RNA, 300 nt
Filed under: uncultured archaeon
Lineage: Archaea
Description: bacterial SSU rRNA
Rfam family: Bacterial small subunit ribosomal RNA
Source: RNAcentral